UCCCUCGUCGCCGCGCGGCCGCCGGGCUCCGCCUCCCAAGCCCGCCGUGCGGCGCGCAGGAGCCGCCUGUGCCGGGGAGCCUGGCACCCGCCAGCGCCUCGCGCCUAGGCCUGCGCUGGGGCAGCUCCCGGGACACGGGGUCGCUGGCCCCAGCCAAGGCCCGCUCACAUCCCCGAGCGGGUGGAGGGCCAGAGCCCUGGGGCGAGCCCCCGCCCUUGUGCUGCCAGGCGGGGACCCCUCCGCUGCCGCUCGGACCACAGAAAGCCCCUUAUCGGGGGGGGGCGCUUGCCAUACCAGCCCAAGGGGGGGAUUUAAACCGGGUUACGCAACUGCUGCAGCGGCCUGUGUGGACGCUCAUCCUCGGUGAAAAUACUUCCCCCUCCUCUUCCUCCUGUAGGUGGAACAUCUCCCUUAGGAGAAUUUAUUGGUCAACUCUUGUACCUUAGUGGCUCAGCUGAACAGACGGAAGAAAUCUGGACAUUUGAAUGCUCAGACACCUCUCAAGUUCCCCUGCAGACGGAAAGCCAGCCACUGGACAUUUGCAUUUAUCGAGACCUCCUCAUGACCCUGGGGCUUUACACAUUUUUUGCAAAGAAAGCAAUGAUUCCAUCGCCUUCCAUCCUACAAAAAAGAUUUUAUGAAUGGCUGAACAGCUUCUUCACAGCAAGUACUCGAGUCUCAACAGAAUGUUAAGUACACAAAAUAAAG
Long non-coding RNA from Malaclemys terrapin pileata, 708 nucleotides. RefSeq lists it as uncharacterized. Lineage: Eukaryota; Metazoa; Chordata; Testudines; Emydidae. The transcript has 5 exons. The record is from RefSeq and is a predicted model, not a curated record.